UAGGGAAUAUUGGACAAUGGGCGAGAGCCUGAUCCAGCCAUGCCGCGUGCAGGAAGAAGGCCCUCUGGGUUGUAAACUGCUUUUGACUAGGGCCAAAAUAUCCAUGCGUGGAGAAUUGAGAGUACUAGUAGAAUAAGCACCGGCUAACUCCGUGCCAGCAGCCGCGGUAAUACGGAGGGUGCAAGCGUUGUCCGGAUUUAUUGGGUUUAAAGGGUGCGUAGGUGGCUUUUUAAGUCAGUGGUGAAAGCCU
Molecule: ribosomal RNA, 250 nt
Filed under: uncultured bacterium
Lineage: Bacteria
Description: partial 16S ribosomal RNA
Rfam family: Bacterial small subunit ribosomal RNA
Source: RNAcentral